AGAGUUUGAUCCUGGCUCAGGAUGAACGCUAGCUACAGGCUUAACACAUGCAAGUCGAGGGGCAGCGGGAUUGAAGCUUGCUUCAAUUGCCGGCGACCGGCGCACGGGUGAGUAACGCGUAUCCAACCUUCCGUACACUCAGGGAUAGCCUUUCGAAAGAAAGAUUAAUACCUGAUGGUAUGAUGAGAUUGCAUGAUAGCAUCAUUAAAGAUUUAUCGGUGUACGAUGGGGAUGCGUUCCAUUAGGUAGUAGGCGGGGUAACGGCCCACCUAGCCGACGAUGGAUAGGGGUUCUGAGAGGAAGGUCCCCCACAUUGGAACUGAGACACGGUCCAAACUCCUACGGGAGGCAGCAGUGAGGAAUAUUGGUCAAUGGGCGAGAGCCUGAACCAGCCAAGUAGCGUGAAGGAUGAAGGUCCUACGGAUUGUAAACUUCUUUUAUACGGGAAUAAAGUAUCCUACGUGUAGGAUUUUGUAUGUACCGUAUGAAUAAGCAUCGGCUAACUCCGUGCCAGCAGCCGCGGUAAUACGGAGGAUGCGAGCGUUAUCCGGAUUUAUUGGGUUUAAAGGGAGCGCAGACGGGAGAUUAAGUCAGUUGUGAAAGUUUGCGGCUCAACCGUAAAAUUGCAGUUGAUACUGGUUUCCUUGAGUGCAGUUGAGGCAGGCGGAAUUCGUGGUGUAGCGGUGAAAUGCUUAGAUAUCACGAAGAACCCCGAUUGCGAAGGCAGCUUGCUAAACUGUAACUGACGUUCAUGCUCGAAAGUGUGGGUAUCAAACAGGAUUAGAUACCCUGGUAGUCCACACGGUAAACGAUGGAUACUCGCUGUUGGCGAUAUACUGUCAGCGGCCAAGCGAAAGCAUUAAGUAUCCCACCUGGGGAGUACGCCGGCAACGGUGAAACUCAAAGGAAUUGACGG
This 916-nucleotide ribosomal RNA is filed under the name uncultured bacterium. RNAcentral describes it as "bacterial SSU rRNA". It matches the Rfam family "Bacterial small subunit ribosomal RNA", at positions 8 to 916 of the family's 1533-position model. The record is from RNAcentral.